This 253-nucleotide ribosomal RNA is filed under the name uncultured bacterium. Its description in RNAcentral is "partial 16S ribosomal RNA". It matches the Rfam family "Bacterial small subunit ribosomal RNA", at positions 524 to 776 of the family's 1533-position model. The record is from RNAcentral.
UACGGGGGGGGCAAGCGUUGUUCGGAAUUACUGGGCGUAAAGGGCUCGUAGGCGGCCAACUAAGUCGGACGUGAAAUCCCCAGGCUCAACCUGGGAACUGCGUCCGAUACUGGAUGGCUUGAAUUCGGGAGAGGGAUGCAGAAUUCCAGGUGUAGCGGUGAAAUGCGUAGAUAUGUGGAGGAACUCCGGUGGCGAAGGCGGCACGCUGGACCCGUCCUGACGCUGAGGCGCGAAAGCCAGGGGAGCGAACGGG